GCUGGGUGCAGUGCUAUGCACUUGUAAUCCCAGCAGCUCAGGAGGCUGAGGUAGGAGGAUCGCGAGUUCAAAGCCAGCCUCAGCAACUUUGCGAGGCACUUAGAAACUCAGUAAGACCCUAUCUCUA
This 127-nucleotide small RNA is filed under the name Marmota monax (woodchuck). Lineage: Eukaryota; Metazoa; Chordata; Mammalia; Rodentia; Sciuridae. The record is from RNAcentral.